UAGGGAAUCUUCGGCAAUGGGGGCAACCCUGACCGAGCAACGCCGCGUGAGUGAAGAAGGUUUUCGGAUCGUAAAGCUCUGUUGUAAGAGAAGAACGUGUGUGAGAGUGGAAAGUUCACACAGUGACGGUAACUUACCAGAAAGGGACGGCUAACUACGUGCCAGCAGCCGCGGUAAUACGUAGGUCCCGAGCGUUGUCCGGAUUUAUUGGGCGUAAAGCGAGCGCAGGCGGUUUAAUAAGUCUGAAGUUAAAGGCAGUGGCUUAACCAUUGUUCGCUUUGGAAACUGUUAAACUUGAGUGCAGAAGGGGAGAGUGGAAUUCCAUGUGUAGCGGUGAAAAGCGUAGAUAUAUGGAGGAACACCGGUGGCGAAAGCGGCUCUCUGGUCUGUAACUGACGCUGAGGCUCGAAAGCGUGGGGAGCAAACAGG
Molecule: ribosomal RNA, 429 nt
Filed under: bacterium
Lineage: Bacteria
Description: partial 16S ribosomal RNA
Rfam family: Bacterial small subunit ribosomal RNA
Source: RNAcentral